Long non-coding RNA from Rhinichthys klamathensis goyatoka, 767 nucleotides. RefSeq lists it as uncharacterized. The record is from RefSeq and is a predicted model, not a curated record. NCBI's taxonomy places the organism in Eukaryota, Metazoa, Chordata, Actinopteri, Cypriniformes, Leuciscidae. The transcript has 6 exons.
UCCACCGAAAGAUCACCAUAUCAGCCUGAGCAUGAAUGUUGUGACCAGUAACCAAAGGAUGCUUAAACCUCUCUUCACAGUGCCACCACCUGGAAAAGAAGAACCACAAACAUCACAUCACUAAACAGUGGCACGGAUGUGGUUGGCAACGUGACAGUGCAGAAGCCACGUUCCAUUGACCUCUGCCACCAUCUCCAACGUCUGAAAUGCUCCUGGGAUCAGGUCAUACACAUCAGUACGAGGGGGGCUCCAAGUUCGGAAUUUGGCCCGAACCCAGAGUAUUCCCCCCAUAUCCAGUUAAGAGAGGAGGGGUGUAGGAGGGAUGCUGGAAAAACUGGUGUGUGACAGAGUUGAAAUAAGGAGUCAAAUUGUGGGAUUUUCAUCUUCCUCUACCUGGCAUGACAGCUUCAGGUUUAGAAGUAGAGGUUCUGACUCCAUGUGCUUGUAUUGAGUGGCGUCGGUGUAUUCUCUAUAAACUACUUUCUUAUACCUGGAGCCCAGUCUGUUCUUUCCUGUCCCCACAAAUAAACUGCCAGGACUGAGACAAGAAUCUGGUUACCAAAGCCAUUCAAAUGCUGCAACCUCUACAAAAGUUGUAGAACAUACAUCUACCUUUUCUCCUCAGUCGUGUUGAAGUUCUGCAAUUCCCAGGUACGAUCAGUGACUGCAGUGUGUGGGAACAGGCUCAGCGUGUCACGUGUUGUGCCUUGUCUCUGGAACGUGUUGCCUUGGAAGUAAAUACCAUGCAUGUCUAUCUCUGUGCCAAG